AGGGAAAUAGCUCAGUGGUAGAGCACAUACUUAGCAUGCACAAGGUUCUGGGUUCAAUCCUCUGUACCUCUA
This 72-nucleotide transfer RNA is filed under the name Camelus bactrianus (Bactrian camel). It matches the Rfam family "tRNA". From Rfam's summary of the family: Transfer RNA (tRNA) molecules are approximately 80 nucleotides in length. Their secondary structure includes four short double-helical elements and three loops (D, anti-codon, and T loops). Lineage: Eukaryota; Metazoa; Chordata; Mammalia; Artiodactyla; Camelidae. The record is from Rfam by way of RNAcentral. RNAcentral also lists the same sequence under 2 other names.